Molecule: long non-coding RNA, 666 nt
Organism: Pan paniscus (pygmy chimpanzee)
Lineage: Eukaryota; Metazoa; Chordata; Mammalia; Primates; Hominidae
Source: Ensembl
AUGGCGUUGCGACUCCCAGGGAAAAGCUGGGAGGCAAGCGGGGCGUGGGGAGGAAAGGCCAAGGCACACGGCGUGGGCGGCCCCUCACAGCCUUCCUCCGCCCCCUCCAUUCCGCACUGGUCGGGGGUGAAGGGGGGGAGCGGGGGGAGCCGCGCUGACGUCACUGCGGGCCGUGCCCGCCCGAGAAGGCGGCGCUGGGAGCCGCUCAGAGCCCAGAGAAGCGGCGCGCGGCCAGGAGCCCCCGCUCCGCCACUGCCGUGCCUGCCUCCCGCAGCUGUCUGCCAUGCGCUCGCCGGGGCAGGGGCGCCCGGAGAGCGGCGAGAGCUGGGCCUGAGCCCGGGAACGCGCCUGAUCAGGGGUGGCGGAGCCGCGGUCCCCACAGCCGCCCCACCCGCGCCGCUGCCUCGCUGGGGCCCGGGCCCCCUUCCUGGUCCUUACUCCCCUGCUGGUGCCUCCCUCCUUGGCGCGCUUCCCACCUGCGAUCGGCGCCCUCUUCGCAGUCACGAACUCGCCAGCAGCUAGCAGCACUGACUAGUAGGAGGGCCCGCCGGAGGAGAGGAAGCCCCAGAGAGAUUGGUGAGGGUGAUUUCCCAGGAAGACGCAGUGUGCUCUGACUUCUGUGACAGUGAGCAACGGGACCAGUGGAUGUCCAGAUGCUGGCAAUGA